RNAcentral lists this ribosomal RNA (381 nucleotides) under uncultured bacterium. RNAcentral describes it as "bacterial SSU rRNA". It matches the Rfam family "Bacterial small subunit ribosomal RNA", at positions 29 to 410 of the family's 1533-position model. The record is from RNAcentral.
AUUGAACGCUGGCGGCAUGCUUUACACAUGCAAGUCGAACGGCAGCGCGGGGGCAACCCUGGCGGCGAGUGGCGAACGGGUGAGUAAUGGCAUCGGAACGUAUCCUGUAAUGGGGGAUAACGGUAGCGAAAGUUACGCUAAUACCGCAUACGCUCGAGAGAGGAAAGUGGGGGUCGCAAGACCUCACGUUAUAGGAGCGGCCGAUGUCCGAUUAGCUAGUUGGUGGGUAAAGGCCUACCAAGGCGACGAUCGGUAGCUGGUCUGAGAGGAUGAUCAGCCACACUGGGACUGAGACACGGCCCAGACUCCUACGGGAGGCAGCAGUGGGGAAUUUUGGGACAAUGGGCGAAAGCCUGAUCCAGCCAUGCCGCGUGCGGGAAG